This 2182-nucleotide long non-coding RNA is filed under the name Vitis vinifera (wine grape). RNAcentral describes it as "long non-coding RNA (VVIN_LNC006118)". The record is from RNAcentral. Lineage: Eukaryota; Viridiplantae; Streptophyta; Magnoliopsida; Vitales; Vitaceae.
UAAGAAAUAAUUUUGGCUUGGAAGAAGGUUUACCGUUAAUUACACGGCCCAGUAGAUUUUUCUUCUCUUGGUUUGCCUAUAAAUAUUGGAGCAAGCAAGUGCUAUAGAUCAUCGUUCUCCAUACUUAGCAUGGUGAAGAUGGCUUUCUUUAAGACCUCUCAAGUCAUGUUGAUGGCCAUCUUUGUAGGAAUCAUCCUUCUCAUGUCCUCUGAGGUCGCUACAGCUGCAACACUACUUAAAUUUGGUCAGUAUAUUUAGGGGACUGCCCACGCAUGUAUUUCAUAUAUGUUUCUGAUAAACAUGCCAGUGAUGGCAUCUCCAUGUAUUAAGUCUUAUUAUCCUUUUUAUAUAUGUAAGUAUAUAAGGUAGAGAAAUGGCGACUAAUAUUUAAGACAUGUGUCUACUUUGAUCUGUCGCAGGACGAAGGGUUCUGGGUGUACCAAUUGGCAUGGACUGUGGUACAGACAACUAUGGAGUUCCGCGCUAUUGCACAGGAAUGGGAGGAUUUGCUGAGCCCCCGCCGCCAUAGGGCCCAUAACCAUAGUUAUGUAGAAAUUCAAAUAAAAUUAUGUAAGGGGAUUAUCAGAAAAAUAAUAGAUCUGAAUGAUGAUCUCAGCAUUUGGAUGUAUAAGAUUGAUGAGUGUCUUAAAAGAGAUGUAUUUCAAUUCUUGCUUUAUUCUCUUUCUAGUACUGUUGGAGCUCAUUUAAUUCAGAGUAGAGAGUUUCUGUAUGGGGUAUAUAUCAUGCAAUAUGGUAAUGUCGUAGAAUACAUAUGGAUGCACUGCACAGUUAGGAGAAAUGUGGUGAUAGAACUACAUUGUCAUCAGUUGAGUUUCCAUAGCAUUGCCAGCGUAGAAUUGCUUGUUCUACGUGGAAUAGACCCAAUGAAAGUGCUCAACAUGUAUUUCAAUUGCGAUUGAGAAAGAACAGAAGAAAAUUUGAAAUCUGUGUACAUGGGGUGACUGAGUAAAUGGAUCCAUUUCAACGAGUGGUUAGUUCUUCUGAAAUACAAGUUAUUGGAGACAAAUGACGCCGUAGCAACCUUGCUUUCAUUGAUUUGUCUUAUAUGCAUGGUCUAUGCACAAUUUACUUGUCCCAUCAUUUUCAUUACCACUUUUCUCCAACCAGCGUUCUAAAAUGAUGCUUUGGCUGCUCCCGAAAACGCAGAGAAAAUACUUCUUCCAUAAGAUUGGAAGAAUACAUGGUAGGUGUGUAAGACUGUAAUAUUACUUUCUAUGACUCUUGGCUUUGGGUAGAGGAAGUGGAGGCCCACACGCACGCUCCACGGGUUCCAAUUUUCAAAUCUGUCAUUCUUUUUACUCUUAAGUUCAACUAAAAUUGUUUCCUUCUUGCUCAACCAUUCAUUUUUGUAGCUAGAACUUGGCCUGUAGAAAACCUCUCGCUGGGGUAAUGUUUUUUUUUUCCCUUGUGCCAACCAUACUUUGCUUUAUACUGAAUAUUAGAAUGAAGAUAUCACCCAAUCUUUUUGUGAACCUAAAAAAACUGUAAUGUAAUCUCAAAUCAAUUUUCACACUUUGGAUCAUCCACUUUGCCCUCUUAUCUUUUUGAGUUUGAUGGUUGUGCAUGAAUUUCAAUAUAUUUGUUAGAGUUAUUUAUUUAUUAUAUUAGAAUUAUUAUCCUUGUAGGAGUAGGAGUAAAUUAAUCUUUUACUGUCUUUGAUUGUGAGUCUAUGGAAAUUCUAUUUGCAUUAUAUGUAUUUUUUUUUUCAAGCCGGCCUUCACAAUUGGAAACCCUAGAUUCUUUUUAUUAGAGCAUAAUUGACUUUAAUAGAAUUAUUGAUUUAUGAUAUCAUUGAAGAAAGUUUAAUCUUAUAUAUAAUUGUCUACUUGAUAUUUUAUCGUUUGUGUGAAAAUACAAGCUCAUGCUUCGGAAAAUUUUCUUAUAGGUGUGAGGAUAGGCAUAAAUAGAUUGAAAACUAGUUCUUCAAUUGAAACUAAGCAAUAUGACUUUCACACAGAAGAGAAGAUAAAUGAAGACCAAUCCAACGGUAGAAGGGUAGCGAUUAGAGAAGGGAAUUAAGCAAUGUUUUUUAUUCUUCUUUGGUUUGUAUUUGUUUUUGUUUUUGUUUUUUGUUUUUUUUUUUAUUAUUGUUUUUGUUUUUGGUGGUUAUUUAUUAUUUUAUUCAUCAUGAUCAGAGAAAAAGAUGAAGUGUGAGAUUGGA